This 492-nucleotide ribosomal RNA is filed under the name uncultured bacterium. RNAcentral's name for it is "partial 16S ribosomal RNA". It matches the Rfam family "Bacterial small subunit ribosomal RNA", at positions 29 to 507 of the family's 1533-position model. The record is from RNAcentral.
AGUGAACGCUGGCGGUAGGCCUAACACAUGCAAGUCGAACGGCAGCACAGUAAGAGCUUGCUCUUACGGGUGGCGAGUGGCGGACGGGUGAGGAAUACAUCGGAAUCUACUUUUUCGUGGGGGAUAACGUAGGGAAACUUACGCUAAUACCGCAUACGACCUACGGGUGAAAGCAGGGGAUCUUCGGACCUUGCGCGAUUGAAUGAGCCGAUGUCGGAUUAGCUAGUUGGCGGGGUAAAGGCCCACCAAGGCGACGAUCCGCAGCUGGUCUGAGAGGAUGAUCAGCCACACUGGAACUGAGACACGGUCCAGACUCCUACGGGAGGCAGCAGUGGGGAAUAUUGGACAAUGGGCGCAAGCCUGAUCCAGCCAUACCGUGUGGGUGAAGAAGGCCUUCGGGUUGUAAAGCCCUUUUGUUGGGAAAGAAAAGCAGCAGGUUAAUACCCCGCUGUUCUGACGGUACCCAAAGAAUAAGCACCGGCUAACUUCGUG